RNAcentral lists this ribosomal RNA (384 nucleotides) under uncultured bacterium. Its description in RNAcentral is "bacterial SSU rRNA". It matches the Rfam family "Bacterial small subunit ribosomal RNA", at positions 29 to 412 of the family's 1533-position model. The record is from RNAcentral.
AUUGAACGCUGGCGGCAGGCUUAACACAUGCAAGUCGAGCGGUAACAGGUCUUCGGAUGCUGACGAGUGGCGAACGGGUGAGUAAUACAUCGGAACGUGCCCGAUCGUGGGGGAGUAACGCAGCGAAAGCUGUGCUAAUACCGCAUACGAUCUACGGAUGAAAGACGGGGGAGUCGCAAGACCUCGCGCGGACGGAGCGGCCGAUGGCAGAUUAGGUAGUUGGUGGGAUAAAAGACUUACCAAGCCGACGAUCUGUAGCUGGUCUGAGAGGACGACCAGCCACACUGGGACUGAGACACGGCCCAGACUCCUACGGGAGGCAGCAGUGGGGAAUUUUGGACAAUGGGGGAAACCCUGAUCCAGCCAUGCCGCGUGCAGGAUGAA